This 223-nucleotide long non-coding RNA is filed under the name Panax ginseng (ginseng). Its description in RNAcentral is "long non-coding RNA (PGIN_LNC001080)". The record is from RNAcentral. Lineage: Eukaryota; Viridiplantae; Streptophyta; Magnoliopsida; Apiales; Araliaceae.
UUUUCUUUCUCUCUAGAUUAUCGAGCGUAUUUAUGUGAGUAUUUUGAUACUCACAUAUUUAAAUUGGAGAAUACAGAAAUGAAUAUAUUUGUAUCAUGUGAAAUUUAUAGAGAAUACAGAAAUCAAGGUAUGUUUAAAUUGGAGAUUUUGUGCUAGAACGAGGCGGUGGAAAGGAUAAAACAAAGAUUUCUUCAGUGGGGGAUAAUGCAAGGUGUGUGCAGUA